UCUUAGCUGAGUGUUCCGCGGGGCCCGAAGCGUUUACUUUGAAAAAAUUAGAGUGUUCAAAGCAGGCCCGUGCCGCCUGGAUACCGCAGCUAGGA
Molecule: microRNA precursor, 95 nt
Organism: Echinops telfairi (small Madagascar hedgehog)
Lineage: Eukaryota; Metazoa; Chordata; Mammalia; Afrosoricida; Tenrecidae
Source: Ensembl